Molecule: RNA transcript, 2046 nt
Organism: Olea europaea var. sylvestris
Lineage: Eukaryota; Viridiplantae; Streptophyta; Magnoliopsida; Lamiales; Oleaceae
Gene name: uridine kinase-like protein 1, chloroplastic
Exons: 14
Source: RefSeq, a predicted model, not a curated record
UCACAUUCAUUAUUAGGCGAAUCAGUAGGCACAUCACAUUCUUGGAUAAAAAUUCUCAGCCUGUAAAGGACGCCAACAGUCGAAAGGAUUCCUACUAUAAAUUAAACACGCGAUUUCUGUUGUAAAACUAUAUUUAAAUACCUAACCCACAGCUAAACAAUUCCGUUUAACUCAAAUCUGUGCUGAGACGGAGACAAUGCCGGCGGAGACGAAGGAAAUCGAUUACGUGAUGGAGGCCGCGUCGGGUCCACACUUCUCCGGCCUCCGCCUCGACAGCCUUAUGUCCGCCGCACCGAGCUCAUCUACUUCUCGUUCUUCCUCCACUCCUACUACUCCCUCUUUUUCCACUCCCCUUGUCGAUUCUUCUGUCAUCAAGCAGCCCUUCGUUAUAGGCGUUUCGGGUGGUACGGCAUCCGGGAAGACAACGGUCUGUGACAUGAUUAUUCAACAGCUUCACGAUCAUCGUGUCGUUCUUGUUAACCAGGAUUCUUUCUAUCGUGGCUUGACUCCUGAAGAGUUGGAACGAGUUCAUGAAUAUAACUUUGAUCAUCCAGAUGCUUUUGACACAGAGCAGUUACUUGAUUGUGUUAAUGAGCUCAAGAGUGGGCAUUCUGUACAUGUCCCAAUGUAUGAUUUUAAAACACAUCAACGGUCUAAAGAUAGCUUCCGACAGGUGAAUGCCUCUGAUGUAAUCAUUUUGGAGGGGAUCCUUGUCUUCCACGAUCAACGUGUGCGGAAUUUGAUGAACAUGAAGAUUUUUGUUGACACAGAUGCUGAUGUGAGGCUUGCUCGUAGAAUACGGCGUGAUACAGUCGAGAGAGGAAGGGACAUAAGUUCAGUUCUUGAACAGUAUGCAAAGUUUGUCAAGCCUGCUUUUGAGGAUUUUGUUCUGCCAUCAAAGAAACAUGCUGAUGUUAUUAUACCCCGGGGAGGCGACAAUCAUGUUGCAAUUGAUUUGAUUGUCCAACAUAUUCGCACAAAGCUUGGCCAGCAUGACCUUUGUAAAAUAUAUCCCAAUGUGUAUGUUAUUCAGUCGACAUUCCAGAUAAGAGGCAUGCAUACCCUGAUUCGUGAUCAAGAUAUAUCGAAGCAUGACUUUGUGUUUUAUUCAGAUAGGCUUAUUCGUUUGGAUCAUUUUAUACUGGUGUUGACUUCUGCAAGAAAUUGUGUGGAGUUUCCAUUGUUCGAAGGUUUCACUUUUGAACUCCCUUUAAGCCACCCUUGGAUUUGUACCAUGAGCUGGGUUUGGGAUAUUUUACUUUGUAGGCCGUGUUUUCUUCUUGGUUACCUUUUUUUCCCUUUGUUUGUGAGACGUGGUGAAAGUAUGGAAAAUGCUCUGCGUGCUUGUUGCAAAGGAAUUAAAAUUGGGAAAAUUCUGAUCCACCGUGAUGGCGACAACGGGAAACAGCUUAUAUAUGAAAAACUUCCAAAAGAUAUUUCGGAACGCCAUGUCCUCCUCCUAGAUCCAGUCCUUGCUACAGGUAGCCAAAUUUUAUCAUUCAUACAUAGUUGCUUGGAAAGUUAAAAUUCUAGUGUGAGGGUAACUCUGCUAAUCAGGCAAUUGAGUUACUCAUACAGAAAGGUGUUCCAGAGUCUCAUAUUAUUUUCCUAAACCUCAUCUCCGCACCGGAGGGAAUUCAUUGCGUUUGUAAACGUUUCCCCUCAUUAAAAAUUGUGACAUCAGAGAUUGAUGUGGCACUGAAUGAAGAAUUUCGCGUGAUACCAGGUUUGGGAGAAUUUGGUGAUCGUUACUUUGGCACUGAUGAUUGAUCCAUACAGGUUCAAUAUUGCGCGUUACCUGUUGGUCUGCUCAUUAACUGUAAAUUAAGGCCGCCAGUCUGUUUAUAUUCACACAUUACGACGUGCCCUUGUUUUCUGGAUGAUUAUGGGAUCGCAUAUUUUUAUGGUUAUUUACUAUUUAGCAUCCCUUAAAUCUGAAGGUAACAAAAUCACGUUACCCAAGUCUGCGACGACUGGGACUUCGAAGCAAUGAUGUUACAAAAGCAUUUUUUAUAGUUCCAAUUUCUACCUUAUCAUUUUCCUAUA